This is a ribosomal RNA of Roseofilum reptotaenium AO1-A, 118 nucleotides long. The record is from Rfam. NCBI's taxonomy places the organism in Bacteria, Bacillati, Cyanobacteriota, Cyanophyceae, Desertifilales, Desertifilaceae.
CCUGGUGCUGUGAGCGCUGUGGCACCACUCCGAUUCCAUCCCGAACUCGGCAGUGAAACACAGCAGCGGCGACGAUACUUUGGGGGUCACCCUUGGGCAAAAUAGCUCGGUGCCAGGU